AUAUCUGAGCGUACUUUUAAAUAAGUCAAAACUUUCAACAACGGAUCUCUUGGUUCUGGCAUCGAUGAAGAACGCAGCGAAAUGCGAUAAGUAAUGUGAAUUGCAGAAUUCAGUGAAUCAUCGAAUCUUUGAACGCACAUUGCGCCCAUUAGUACUCUAGUGGGCAUGCCUGUUCGAGCGUCAUUACGACCCUUAAGCCUAGCUUAGUAUUGGGAACCUACGUGCGGCAGCUACCCUGUAGCUACCCUGUAGCUCCUUAAAGACAACGGCGGAGACGUGGAGUCCUCUGAGCUUAGUAAACUUUUUCUAGCUUCUGAAGGCGCCGCGGCCCCUGCCGUAAAACCCCCCAACUCUUUAGUGGUUGACCUCGGAUCAGGUAGGAAUACCCGCUGAACUUAAGCAUAUCAAUAAGCGGAGGAAAAGAAACCAACAGGGAUUGCCUUAGUAACGGCGAGUGAAGCGGCAACAGCUCAAAUUUGAAAGCUGGCCUUCGGGUCCGCGUUGUAAUUUGUAGAGGAUGCUUUUGGUUAGGUGCCUUACGAGUUCCCUGGAACGGGACGCCUUAGAGGGUGAGAGCCCCGUACGUUUGGUUACCGAGCCUCUGUAAAGCUCCUUCGACGAGUCGAGUAGUUUGGGAAUGCUGCUCUAAAUGGGAGGUAAAUUUCUUCUAAAGCUAAAUACCGGCCAGAGACCGAUAGCGCACAAGUAGAGUGAUCGAAAGAUGAAAAGCACUUUGAAAAGAGGGUUAAAUAGCACGUGAAAUUGUUGAAAGGGAAGCGUUUAUGACCAGACUUUUUCCUGGCGGAUCAUCCGGUGUUCU
RNAcentral lists this ribosomal RNA (820 nucleotides) under Sordariomycetes sp. RNAcentral describes it as "eukaryotic LSU rRNA". The stretch from base 363 to 820 matches the Rfam family "Eukaryotic large subunit ribosomal RNA", at positions 1 to 464 of the family's 3401-position model. Lineage: Eukaryota; Fungi; Ascomycota; Sordariomycetes. The record is from RNAcentral.